CUACGGGCGGCACCAGUGGGGAAUCUUGCACAAUGGAGGAAACUCUGAUGCAGCGAUGCCGCGUGAGUGAAGAAGGCCCUUGGGUUGUAAAGCUCUUUUGUCGGGAAAGAUAAUGACUGUACCCGAAGAAUAAGGUCCGGCUAACUUCGUGCCAGCAGCCGCGGUAAUACGAAGGGACCUAGCGUAAUUCGGAAUUACUGGGCGUAAAGCGCGCGUAGGCGGUUAAGUAAGUUAAUUGUGAAAGCCCAAAGCUCAACUUUGGAAUUGCAAUUAAAACUACUUAGCUAGAGUUUAUCAGAGGAAAGCGGAAUACAUAGCGUAGAGGUGAAAUUCGUAGAUAUUAUGUAGAACACCAGUUGCGAAGGCGGCUUUCUGGGAUAACACUGACGCUGAGGUGCGAAAGUAUGGGUAGCGAAGAGGAUUAGAUACCCCCGUAGUC
Molecule: ribosomal RNA, 439 nt
Filed under: uncultured bacterium
Lineage: Bacteria
Description: partial 16S ribosomal RNA
Rfam family: Bacterial small subunit ribosomal RNA
Source: RNAcentral